This 386-nucleotide ribosomal RNA is filed under the name uncultured bacterium. RNAcentral describes it as "bacterial SSU rRNA". It matches the Rfam family "Bacterial small subunit ribosomal RNA", at positions 29 to 416 of the family's 1533-position model. The record is from RNAcentral.
AACGAACGCUUGCGGCGUGCCUAAGAAAUGCAAGUCGAGCGGGGUAGCAAUACCUAGCGGCGAACGGUCGCGUAACACGUAAGCAAUCUGCCCCAAACGAACCGGGACAACAGUGAGAAAUCGCUGCUAAUACCGGAUGUGCCCGCCCUGUCGCAUGACCGGGGUGAGUAAAUCGAGCAAUCGGCUUUGGGAGGAGCUUGCGGCCUAUCAGCUAGAUGGCGGGGUAGUGGCCCCACCAUGGCGACGACGGGUAGCUGGUCUGAGAGGAUGGUCAGCCGGACUGGGACUGAGAUACGGCCCAGACUCCUACGGGGGGCAGCAAUUAGGGAAUCUUUGCGCAAUGGGCGAAAGCCUGACGCAGCGACGCCGCGUGGGGGAGGAAGGCC